Molecule: non-coding RNA, 236 nt
Organism: Pelobates cultripes (western spadefoot toad)
Lineage: Eukaryota; Metazoa; Chordata; Amphibia; Anura; Pelobatidae
Source: the annotation of a GenBank genome assembly
GGUUGGAGUGCAGGGUAUUCUUUCAUUGUUCAAACUGAGCAUGGAGAAAAGGCCUUCACAAGCCUCUGCUAUUGUGUACAUAGUUUAUACUAAGUGACCCAUAGGUUGAGGAGGCGGUGACCGUGGCGGAGGAGGUGAAAGCCAACACUGGUUUUUUGUUUGUUUUUUUAAUUGGGGUAGCCCCCAAAAUAUUGGGACAUGUAACAAAAGAAACAUUUGCGGCCUGCGGUGCAUUU